CUUUGAACUGGAUUUCUUAAACGAUUUUUACCUCACUGCUUGACUAAACACUUUCACGUAUCGAGGCAAAGGAUAAGAUAUGAAGAUAGAUAGAUGAGAGCAAAGGGUGGAAAAUUGGGAGAAGUUCUUAUAUGAUUUAUUUCCUUUAUUGAAAUUUUUAUUGUAUGAAUGAAAUAAGAUAAUUGUAUGCAGAUAAUGGAUUGUGAUGCGUUUAAGAGUAAAGAAAGGAUGAUUUUGAGAUAUUGGCAAUAAUAUUAAUUUGGUUUUGAUUAAUUUUAGUAUAAUUGUGCUCACUGAGAUAUUUAUGUGUAGAAAAAAAAAUUGUUGUACGAAGAUAGGAAAACAGAAGAUAUUACAUAGCAAAGAAUGAAAGGUUUUGAAAAAUAUAUAUUUGUUAUGAAUGUAUGAAUGGAAGAUAAUGCUUGUAGAUAUCCAAAUUUUUUGAAUUCAUUAAAAUUUAUUGAACAAAGAUGAAAUAAUUGAAUAAACCUCUACUUUUCUAUUUUUCAGUUAUUUAAAAGAAAAAAAAAAUCACUCAAGUCAAGAGAUUAAUGAAGUAGUUGGAAUUUAGAUAAAGCCAGAUAUAUAGAAGUAUAUAUAGAAGAAUAAAAAAAUAUAGAUCCUAUCUUCAAUAUUUAUUUGAUAAUCGAAGAUAGAAUCUCUGUGUAUAUUAAACAAAAUGUUUCAUACACAUACUGAAAAGAACCUCGAUACUAGUAUCUUCAAUCACAACGUGAAUCAUUACACCUCUGGACAUUUCUGAAAUUAUAAAAAUUAAAUGAUCAUUAUUAGAAAAUAAAAUUUUUAUACAAUGAAGAAAGUAAUAUAAUGAUACUAACUGUUACAGGAAAUGGAGGAUUUUUUAAACAGCAGUAUAAAUGAUGAAGGAACAAUAUCCAGAAGAAAAGUUCUAGAAGAAAUUUAUUAUUUAUUUAGAACAAAUCAGGUAUUGAUCAUCAAAUAGGUUAUUAAUAUUAACAUGGAUAUAUUAUAAAUAACAUAUCGAAUCUGUUCCAUUGAAAGUCGAAUCCAGAAUGUCGGUCAUCGAUAAAAUCGAAUAAAAUUCAUCGUAUUCCUCCUCUGCAAAACCUUGUUAAACAUCUCAUGACUACACACCCAUAUGUGAGUUUCAUACAAAGUACUCCGUGCGGAUUAAGACAACAUAUACCUUCAAUAUCUAUGGAUUAAUUAAAAAGAGAUUGUUCCAAUACCAUCGAAAUGGAAAUGAAAAUCCGUAGUAUUUACUUUCUCCUGGCAUUCUGGUUCGAGCGCCAUUUAUUUACACAUUGGCGAUAGUAUUUCUAAGAAUAGUGUAAAUACAU
Molecule: long non-coding RNA, 1322 nt
Organism: Apis cerana (Asiatic honeybee)
Lineage: Eukaryota; Metazoa; Arthropoda; Insecta; Hymenoptera; Apidae
Source: RefSeq, a predicted model, not a curated record